Molecule: ribosomal RNA, 401 nt
Filed under: Vibrio parahaemolyticus
Lineage: Bacteria; Pseudomonadati; Pseudomonadota; Gammaproteobacteria; Vibrionales; Vibrionaceae
Also listed under: 1 other name
Description: bacterial SSU rRNA
Rfam family: Bacterial small subunit ribosomal RNA
Source: RNAcentral
CUACUCUUGACAUCCAGAGAACUUUCCAGAGAUGGAUUGGUGCCUUCGGGAACUCUGAGACAGGUGCUGCAUGGCUGUCGUCAGCUCGUGUUGUGAAAUGUUGGGUUAAGUCCCGCAACGAGCGCAACCCUUAUCCUUGUUUGCCAGCGAGUAAUGUCGGGAACUCCAGGGAGACUGCCGGUGAUAAACCGGAGGAAGGUGGGGACGACGUCAAGUCAUCAUGGCCCUUACGAGUAGGGCUACACACGUGCUACAAUGGCGCAUACAGAGGGCAGCCAACUUGCGAAAGUGAGCGAAUCCCAAAAAGUGCGUCGUAGUCCGGAUUGGAGUCUGCAACUCGACUCCAUGAAGUCGGAAUCGCUAGUAAUCGUGGAUCAGAAUGCCACGGUGAAUACGUUCCC